ACUAUUUUAAAUACGUAAGUGAUGAUAAUAAUACAUUAUGUUGUCACGCCCGAAAAGCGAUUCCGCGUGUAGUUCAGAAUUUUAACGCUCUUGUUUUUAAUAUUUUUAUUUUUUUUUACAGUAUUUAUACGCAAUGGUCGUAUCCAGAAAAAUAACCUCAUCCACUUUAAAACAAAUUCAACAAGUCAUGAUAUAUCUAUUUAUACACAACACAACACGUAUUCGAUUCGGUGCAUAAUACAUUUUUGACUUGGAAAAUUGUUUACGAGUUAUUAAACAAUAAUGUCGUAAAAUAUUAUCAGCUCACAAUUACCUACUGUAUUGUAAUGUUUUUAAUGAAUUCAAUACGAAUGAAAUAAUUCAAUAUCGAUGUACGAAGCUCGUUGAAAUGUAUUAUAUUCAGCGAUGACGAACAGUGUUUCGAUUAAUUAAUAAUUAUUUGAAAUACAAUUUUAUGUAUAUUUUGUUUU
This is a non-coding RNA of Cinara cedri, 470 nucleotides long. The record is from the annotation of a GenBank genome assembly. Lineage: Eukaryota; Metazoa; Arthropoda; Insecta; Hemiptera; Aphididae.